This 269-nucleotide ribosomal RNA is filed under the name uncultured prokaryote. RNAcentral describes it as "partial 16S ribosomal RNA". It matches the Rfam family "Bacterial small subunit ribosomal RNA", at positions 524 to 792 of the family's 1533-position model. The record is from RNAcentral.
UACGGAGGAUCCGAGCGUUAUCCGGAAUUAUUGGGUUUAAAGGGUGCGUAGGCGGCCAUUUAAGUCAGCGGUGAAAUUUUGCAGCUUAACUGUAACAGUGCCGUUGAUACUGUUUGGCUAGGAUUUGGUUGUAGUGUGCGGAAUGUGUGGUGUAGCGGUGAAAUGCUUAGAUAUUACACAGAACACCAAUUGCGUAGGCAGCUUACUGAGCCGACACUGACGCUGAGGCACGAAAGCGUGGGGAUCAAACAGGAUUAGAUACCCGGGUA